This 511-nucleotide ribosomal RNA is filed under the name Fusarium equiseti. Its description in RNAcentral is "partial 18S ribosomal RNA". The stretch from base 208 to 362 matches the Rfam family "5.8S ribosomal RNA". Lineage: Eukaryota; Fungi; Ascomycota; Sordariomycetes; Hypocreales; Nectriaceae. The record is from RNAcentral.
UGAUGGGGGAAAAAUCGUAACAGGGUCUCCGUUGGUGAACCAGCGGAGGGAUCAUUACCGAGUUUACAACUCCCAAACCCCUGUGAACAUACCUAUACGUUGCCUCGGCGGAUCAGCCCGCGCCCCGUAAAACGGGACGGCCCGCCCGAGGACCCCUAAACUCUGUUUUUAGUGGAACUUCUGAGUAAAACAAACAAAUAAAUCAAAACUUUUCAACAACGGAUCUCUUGGUUCUGGCAUCGAUGAAGAACGCAGCAAAAUGCGAUAAGUAAUGUGAAUUGCAGAAUUCAGUGAAUCAUCGAAUCUUUGAACGCACAUUUGCGCCCGCCAGUAUUCUGGCGGGCAUGCCUGUUCGAGCGUCAUUUCAACCCUCAAGCUCAGCUUGGUGUUGGGACUCGCGGUAACCCGCGUUCCCCAAAUCGAAUUGGCGGUCACGUCGAGCUUCCAUAGCGUAGUAAUCAUACACCUCGUUACUGGUAAUCGUCGCGGCCACGCCGUAAAACCCCAACUU